RNAcentral lists this ribosomal RNA (463 nucleotides) under uncultured bacterium. RNAcentral's name for it is "partial 16S ribosomal RNA". It matches the Rfam family "Bacterial small subunit ribosomal RNA", at positions 28 to 507 of the family's 1533-position model. The record is from RNAcentral.
GAUGAACGCUGACAGAAUGCUUAACACAUGCAAGUCGAUGGGGAAGUGGUGCUUGCACCAUGGUAACCAUGGCGGACGGGUGAGUAACGCGUAAGGAACUUGCCUGCGGGACUGGGAUAACAGCAGGAAACUGCUGAUAAUACAGGAUAAGGUCAUUAAGCUGCAUAGCUUAGUGAUGAAAGGAGACGCCUGCGGAGAGCCUUGCGUCCUAUUAGCUAGUUGGAGGGGUAACGGCCCACCAAGGCGAAGAUAGGUAGCCGGCCUGAGAGGGUGGACGGCCACAAGGGGACUGAGAUACGGCCCUUACUCCUACGGGAGGCAGCAGUGGGGAAUAUUGGACAAUGGGGGCAACCCUGAUCCAGCAAUUCUGUGUGCACGAAGACGGUUUUCGGAUUGUAAAGUGCUUUCAGCAGGGAAGAAGGAAGUGACGGUACCUGCAGAAGAAGCGACGGCUAAAUACGUG